This 433-nucleotide ribosomal RNA is filed under the name uncultured bacterium. RNAcentral describes it as "partial 16S ribosomal RNA". It matches the Rfam family "Bacterial small subunit ribosomal RNA", at positions 29 to 507 of the family's 1533-position model. The record is from RNAcentral.
AACGAACGCUGGCGGCAUGCCUAACACAUGCAAGUCGAACGAGACCUCCGGGUCUAGUGGCGCACGGGUGCGUCACGCGUGGGAACCUGCCCUUAGGUUUGGAAUAACUCCCCGAAAGGGGUGCUAAUACCGGAUAAUGUCUUCGGACCAAAGAUUUAUCGCCUUUGGUUGGGCCCGCGUUGGAUUAGCUAGUUGGUAGGGUAAAAGCCUACCAAGGCGACGAUCCAUAGCUGGUCUGAGAGGAUGAUCAGCCACACUGGGACUGAGACACGGCCCAGACUCCUACGGGAGGCAGCAGUGGGUAAUAUUGGACAAUGGGCGAAAGGAUGAACCAGCAAUGCCGCGUGAGUGAUGAAGGCCUUAGGGUAGUAAAGCGCUUUUACCCGGGAUGAUAAUGACAGUACCGGGAGAAUAAGCUCCGGCUAACUCCGUG